This 496-nucleotide ribosomal RNA is filed under the name uncultured Rikenellaceae bacterium. Its description in RNAcentral is "bacterial SSU rRNA". It matches the Rfam family "Bacterial small subunit ribosomal RNA", at positions 903 to 1382 of the family's 1533-position model. Lineage: Bacteria; Pseudomonadati; Bacteroidota; Bacteroidia; Bacteroidales; Rikenellaceae. The record is from RNAcentral.
GCCAGCCCGCUCAGAACUUAAAUGAAUUGACGGGGCCCGCACAAGCGGAGGAACAUGUGGUUUAAUUCGAUGAUACGCGAGGAACUUACCUGGGCUAGAACGCAAUCGGAAUCAGGCCGAAAGGUCUGCGCCAGCGAUGGCCGGUUGCGAGGUGCUGCAUGGUUGUCGUCAGCUCGUGCCGUGAGGUGUCGGGUUAAGUCCCAUAACGAGCGCAACCCCUACUGCUAGUUGCCAGCGGGUCAUGCCGGGGACUCUAGCGGAACUGCCAGCGUAAGCUGCGAGGAAGGUGGGGAUGACGUCAAAUCAGCACGGCCCUUACGUCCAGGGCUACACACGUGUUACAAUGGCCAGUACAGAGGGCAGCCACCCCGCGAGGGGGCGCUAAUCCUAAAAGCUGGUCCCAGUUCGGAUCGGAGUCUGCAACCCGACUCCGUGAAGCUGGAUUCGCUAGUAAUCGCGCAUCAGCCACGGCGCGGUGAAUACGUUCCCGGGCCUU